Molecule: ribosomal RNA, 468 nt
Filed under: uncultured bacterium
Lineage: Bacteria
Description: partial 16S ribosomal RNA
Rfam family: Bacterial small subunit ribosomal RNA
Source: RNAcentral
GACGAACGCUGGCGGCGUGCUUAACACAUGCAAGUCGAACGGAAAGGCCCUGCUUUUGUGGGGUGCUCGAGUGGCGAACGGGUGAGUAACACGUGAGUAACCUGCCCUUGACUUUGGGAUAACUUCAGGAAACUGGGGCUAAUACCGGAUAGGAGCUCCUGCUGCAUGGUGGGGGUUGGAAAGUUUCGGCGGUUGGGGAUGGACUCGCGGCUUAUCAGCUUGUUGGUGGGGUAGUGGCUUACCAAGGCUUUGACGGGUAGCCGGCCUGAGAGGGUGACCGGCCACAUUGGUACUGAGAGACGGCGCAGACUCCUACGUGAGGCAGCAGUGGGGAAUAUUGCACAAUGGGCGGAAGCCUGAUGCAGCAACGCCGCGUGCGGGAUGACGGCCUUCGGGUUGUAAACCGCUUUCGCCUGUGACGAAGCGGGAGUGACGGUAAUGGGUAAAGAAGCACCGGCUAACUACGUG